Molecule: ribosomal RNA, 253 nt
Filed under: uncultured bacterium
Lineage: Bacteria
Description: partial 16S ribosomal RNA
Rfam family: Bacterial small subunit ribosomal RNA
Source: RNAcentral
UACGUAGGGUGCAAGCGUUGUCCGGAAUUACUGGGCGUAAAGCGCACGUAGGCGGAUAUUUAAGUCAGGGGUGAAAUCCCGGGGCUCAACCUCGGAACUGCCUUUGAUACUGGGUAUCUUGAGUAUGGAAGAGGUAAGUGGAAUUGCGAGUGUAGAGGUGAAAUUCGUAGAUAUUCGCAGGAACACCAGUGGCGAAGGCGGCUUACUGGUCCAUUACUGACGCUGAGGUGCGAAAGCGUGGGGAGCAAACAGG